Molecule: ribosomal RNA, 497 nt
Filed under: uncultured bacterium
Lineage: Bacteria
Description: partial 16S ribosomal RNA
Rfam family: Bacterial small subunit ribosomal RNA
Source: RNAcentral
GAUGAACGCUAGCGGCAGGCUUAAUACAUGCAAGUCGAACGGUAAGGUCUCUUCGGAGAUACACGAGUGGCGCACGGGUGCGUAACGCGUAUGCAACCUACCUUUAACUGGGAAAUAGCCCCGAGAAAUCGGGAUUAAUGUCCCAUAUUAUUCUUUGAAUACCUAUUCGAGGAAUGAAAGCUCCGGCGGUUAUUGAUGGGCAUGCGUGACAUUAGCUAGUUGGUGAGGUAACGGCUCACCAAGGCAACGAUGUCUAGGGGUCCUGAAAGGGUUAACCCCCACACUGGUACUGAGACACGGACCAGACUCCUACGGGAGGCAGCAGUAAGGAAUAUUGGGCAAUGGACGCAAGUCUGACCCAGCCAUGCCGCGUGAAGGAUGAAUGUCCUAUGGAUUGUAAACUUCUUUUAUGCAGGAAAAAUAUCCCGGUCGUGAACCGGGACUGAUGGUACUGUAUGAAUAAGCAUCGGCUAACUCCGUGCCAGCAGCCGCGGUAA